Molecule: non-coding RNA, 95 nt
Organism: Mycena latifolia
Lineage: Eukaryota; Fungi; Basidiomycota; Agaricomycetes; Agaricales; Mycenaceae
Source: the annotation of a GenBank genome assembly
GGUCUGGUGGUGUAGUGGUAAUACAUCCUCUGUAUAUAAAUGGGGGAAGUUAUUUGUUCCUGAGGAAGUCCCCUGUUCGACUCAGGGUCAGGCCA